This is a non-coding RNA of Microcebus murinus (gray mouse lemur), 2949 nucleotides long. The record is from RefSeq and is a predicted model, not a curated record. NCBI's taxonomy places the organism in Eukaryota, Metazoa, Chordata, Mammalia, Primates, Cheirogaleidae.
UGUGUGCCUGAGCUCGUGCUCCUGGAGUCUGUUUUGAGCCUGGGCAAGGCAGGGCAGGCAGUGAGGGAGAGAUGAGACCAUCCACCCGCAGCCCCAACCAGCUCUCCCAAAGCACACGGGGCCUUGUAGCUCUGCGUGUCCAGCCAGGGACUCCGUGGGAACUGCUCUCUGGUAGAAAUCGCCAGGAGCCAGGGUCACCCCUCCUAAAGCCUUAGCAAAAACCUCCAGGGCCCCAAAUCAUGUGUCCAGUGGCCUAACCUGGGCUGGGCGUACUCCCCUGGAGGCAAGGGUCUUGGCUUUCUCCCCAGCACCUGGCAGCUGUGCCCAGUGGCGACCACGCCUUCCUCCCCUGUGUCCCAGGGCUAGCAGCAGAUCAACUUCCCAAGCAGGGCACUGGAAAAGUGGACUCCCCUGGGCAAAAUGGGAGAGCCAUGGGGGGAGUGAGGGCAGGGGAAGAGGGAGCAAAUACAACGGCCUGGCCAGGCACCCAGGAGCACAGGGAAGAGACAGGUUGCACUUAAUCACCCAGAGAAGAGGAACCUCCCCUCAGAUGACCUUUGGUGCCUGGAGGAAACAGCUCUACAAAGAGGCAGCUUGCCACCCAGUCCCCGGCCCUCAGGUGGUGACACAGUGAGGCUCUACUGAGGAACAAGCGCUUCACUCUCCCUCAGGCCCAGGGCCCCGUCUGGUCUGCUCAGCUCUCAGCUCACUCACCGGCAGAUGGAAGGACCCCAGUCUGCAGGGUCAGCAGCCAACGGCCACAGCCACAUGCCAGGCGCCCAGCAAGCACUCAGUCCACAUGGGAUGCAAUGAAUCAGCUUAACAUUUUUUAGAGGAAGGAGAAGACCUGAGGGGCCACAUUUCAACCAAAGAAAGGGAGGAGAGUGCCUACAGGGCUUGCGAAGAGAUGGGGCUGGUGGGCCAGGGCAGCCUGGAAUAGGCCACAACACUGUGCAGACACAGCCCCACACCUGUCCUCCUUACCCGGAUCCAACCCAAGCAAGUGCUGUGUGACAAGCCCUGGACCCUGGAUGCAGCAAGGGGAAGAUGAUAGGUCAUGGAUCCGCACGAUAUUCCACACCUACUGUGCACCCUCGGAACAGGGAGGCAGGGUGAGCAAGGUACAGUUCUAGCCCAGAGCCUCAAGUUUUGGUGCAGGGCUGAGAAUAUCUGACACACAGGCUGCCCUCCUAUCCUCCCAUCCUGAGCCCACGACAGACAUCACUACGGCAGGUCCCUGAAAAACAUCGUUUCAUCAUAACACUGAUGGGGGGGGGGACAGCGAUUCCCAGCUGGGGCUCCUGUCUGUGUGGAGUCUGCACCCUUUCUUCAUGUCUACGUGGGCUUUCUCCAGGAAUUCUGGUUUCCCUCUGCCUCCCAAAGCUACGCACAGGUUCGCUGGUGAGUCAGACAUGUCCCAGGGGAUGUGAGCGCGCCCGGCGAUGGGAUGGUGUCCUGCCCAGGGUGGGUUCCCACCGUGCACUCUAUCCUGGAGGACAGGUUCUGGCCACCCUCGACCCUGGAAUAAGCAGGUAAAUAAUUACCUUGCUUUUAUUAAUCUUUCUUAAGUAUAUAUAUAGCUCACGCUUAUUUCAAUUUUUAAUAUUAGAAAGGUUUGGGGUCUUUACUUAGAAGUUUGGUGAUGUUUUUGUGACCAGAAAUAUAUGCCAUGGCAGCUUAACUCUUCUUUAGCUUAUGAUAAAAUUGGUUUCAUUAUAAAGUCAAAGAUGCCAAGAACCUAUGGGCUGAGGUUUAGUUAGGACUUGCUGGGAUUGACCCCAGCAUUCCCUAAACCCCGGUGACACUUCAGGCCUCUUCUUACAUCCAAGCUCUAAGCAAACAUGAAAUGGGAUAAAAAGGAGUUAAAGCACAGAAAGAUGCUGACAAAGCAUCUUAGCACCACCAAAUUCCAGAACUGGCAAGACCCCAGAAGACCAUCCUGACUUCCCCAGGGCCUCCAGUAUUGCAGCCCAGGCCACACAGGCUCCCUGGGGACAGAAGGAAACCCAGCCCCAGCAAGACCUGCAGAGAAAGGUCAUGGGCGGAAAUCCCCGGCUCUGCGCACUGUGCUUCCGCCUGCUGAGCAAGCUCUGCCACUCGGGCCCCCUCCCAUGUGCAGCGCCCACCAGCGUUCCCAUUCAGCCACGCUAAGGUGAACUGGUUUAGAAACCACAAACCAGCCCACCAGUCUGCCCAGAGAUUAGCCCUCCAACCAGACCUCCACUUUCUGGAUUUCAAACAAUUAACAAAUAAAUUACUUGAGGAGGGGAACCUUCUGGGGUAAAUUUACUUUCCCACCUUGAAAAAGGCCCUUCUGGCCACUUAGUCCUUAAUUCCCACUCCUCCUACCCUGUUAAGAUGCCCAUGGAUAGGAGUGCCACCUAGUGCCACUGCGAGGCGCUGCAGGCUCCAAGGACACCUGCAGACAGAGACCUCCCCACCUCAGCCAACCCACCCCAGGGCUCUAGGUCCUAGCUGCAGGAAUUUCAUGCACUAACUCUGGAUGGAUGCUCUGUGCCAGGGAACAGAAGGUGGUUGUGGAACAGAAUCCAACCCAAGAAUGAGAUACCCUGGCAGGUGCCCUCAGCUAAUUCCCUACAGGCUGGUAGAGGUCCCCAGGGGAAGAUGACUGGUGUCUCACUGCUGGCUCAAGGGACCACUGGCAGGCAUCAGCCUCCCAGCAGUCCAGGCAGGGAGCACCACAAGCACAAAGUGCUCUCAGGGGUCUCUCCCUACACAAGGUUCGCCCAGCCCUGCCCCAACUUCCCCACUCGGGUUUAGGAAUGGCUCUUGGCAGUCCUUGACUUCUCCGAUGCCCCUGGCCCAUACAGAGCCUCUCCAGCAGCUCCCCAAGGGCCCUGCCCAGGCACCAAAGGGGUAUGUCCUACAGCAGAAUAAAGAAAAAGGGCUUUCGGGCGGAGCAAGCCCAGCAGACAGCUUCACACAGGG